CGACUUGGAGGUUGUUCCCUUGAGAAGUGGCUUCCGGAGCUAACGCGUUAAGUCGACCGCCUGGGGAGUACGGCCGCAAGGUUAAAACUCAAAUGAAUUGACGGGGGCCCGCACAAGCGGUGGAGCAUGUGGUUUAAUUCGAUGCAACGCGAAGAACCUUACCUACUCUUGACAUCCACGGAAUUCGGCUGAGAUGCCUCAGUGCCUUCGGGAACCGUGAGACAGGUGCUGCAUGGCUGUCGUCAGCUCGUGUUGUGAAAUGUUGGGUUAAGUCCCGCAACGAGCGCAACCCUUAUCCUUUGUUGCCAGCGAGUCAUGUCGGGAACUCAAAGGAGACUGCCGGUGAUAAACCGGAGGAAGGUGGGGAUGACGUCAAGUCAUCAUGGCCCUUACGAGUAGGGCUACACACGUGCUACAAUGGCGCAUACAAAGAGAAGCGACCUCGCGAGAGCAAGCGGACCUCACAAAGUGCGUCGUAGUCCGGAUCGGAGUCUGCAACUCGACUCCGUGAAGUCGGAAUCGCUAGUAAUCGUGGAUCAGAAUGCCACGGUGAAUACGUUCCCGGGCCUUGUACACACCGCCCGUCACACCAUGGGAGUGGGUUGCAAAAGAAGUAGGUAGCUUAACCUUCGGGAGGGCGCUUACCACUUUGUGAUUCAUGGCUGGGGUGAAGUCGUAACAAGGUAAC
This 688-nucleotide ribosomal RNA is filed under the name uncultured bacterium. RNAcentral's name for it is "bacterial SSU rRNA". It matches the Rfam family "Bacterial small subunit ribosomal RNA", at positions 813 to 1500 of the family's 1533-position model. The record is from RNAcentral.